CUGCUUAUAAGUCCAGUCUCCGGCAGAUCCUUCACAAACCUCUCAGCCCUCAGACCUGCAGCUCCGGUUCACCAUGGCCUCCUUCGCUCCCUGGAUCCUGCUCAGCUUCGCGCUCAUUCUCUGUGUCACAUGCCAACGUGAAAGUUCUUUGAUUCACAUACAAGACCCCUGCUCCUGCAGCACGUCAGAUAUCAAAAAGGAGUCAAAACCCUUUCCCCUCAAACGCGUCAGCAAGUGCUUCAUUCAGGAGCCAUCGCGGUACUGUGACCACGCCAUCGUGGUAAAGACUAAAGCGGGACAAAAACUCUGCUUCAGCCCCGCACUUCCCUGGAUCGACAACUUCAUCAAGAAGACGACUCCGCCCUGUCAGCCUCUUCUGGUCCCAUUAUCAUGAUUCUGGAGCAGCUGCAGUUUUUUUAUAAUGAUUUCUUAUUGUUUAUUCUAUAUUAUUCUCCAUUUUUAUAUACAUUUAAUGAUAUUUACUUGUUUAUCUAUUGAUUAUCAUCAUCAUCAUCUGUAGCUUAACACACAAGUCUAUGUUCCAGUUGAUGUAACUCUUUUGCUGAAAUAAAGAUGUAAAUUCUGUUUUCUGUCUCUUUAAAUGGAG
This 607-nucleotide long non-coding RNA is filed under the name Neogobius melanostomus (round goby). RNAcentral describes it as "lncRNA (ENSNMLG00000015883.1)". The record is from RNAcentral. Lineage: Eukaryota; Metazoa; Chordata; Actinopteri; Gobiiformes; Gobiidae.